CCCGGUGAGGGGAGUGAAAUAGAACCUGAAAUUAUGUGCAUACAAGCAGUGGGAGCUCUUCGGAGUGACCGCGUACCUUUUGUAUAAUGGGUCAGCGACUUACUUUCAAUGGCAAGCUUAACCUUUUUAGGGGAGGCGUAGGGAAACCGAGUCUUAACUGGGCGACAUAGUCUUUGGGAGUAGACCCGAAACCGGGCGAUCUAUCCAUGGCCAGAGUGAAGGUCGGGUAAUACCGACUGGAGGCUCGAACACACCUAUGUUGAAAAAUGGGGUGAUGAGCUGUGGAUAGGAGUGAAAGGCUAAUCAAGCUCGGAGAUAGCUGGUUCUCCUCGAAAUCUAUUUAGGUAGAGCCUCAUGUAUCACUGUUGGGGGUAGAGCACUGUUAUGGCUAGGGGGUCAUCCCGACUUACCAAACCAUUGCAAACUCCGAAUACCAACAAGUGUAAUCAUGGGAGACACACGGCGGGUGCUAACGUCCGUCGUGGAAAGGGAAACAACCCAGACCGUCAGCUAAGGUCCCAAAAUCAUUACUAAGUGGGAAACGAUGUGGAAAGGCCCAAACAGCCAGGAGGUUGGCUUAGAAGCAGCCAUCCUUUAAAGAAAGCGUAAUAGCUCACUGGUCGAGUCGGUCCGCGCGGAAGAUUUAACGGGGCUAAGUAAUGUACCGAAGCUACGGAUGUAAAUUUAUUUACAUGGUAGAGGAGCGUUCUGUAAGUCUGUGAAGGUGAACUGUAAAGUUUGCUGGAGAUAUCAGAAGUGCGAAUGCUGACAUAAGUAACGAUAAUGCGGGUGAAAAACCCGCACGCCGAAAACCCAAGGUUUCCUGCGCAACGCUAAUCGGCGCAGGGUUAGUCGGUACCUAAGGCGAGGCCGAAAGGCGUAGUCGAUGGAAAACAGGUUAAUAUUCCUGUACUUUAUAAUACUGCGAUGUGGGGACGGAGAAGGCUAAACUAGCCAGGUGUUGGAUAUCCUGGUUUAAGCGUGUAGGGAGUAUUCUUAGGUAAAUCCGGGAAUACACUAUCCUGAGGCGUGAUGACGAUCACUCUAGGGUGAGAAGUAGUUGAUGCCAUGCUUCCAAGAAAAGCCACUAAGCUUCAGGUAUUAUAGAGCCGUACUCUAAACGGACACACGUGGGUGGGGUGAGAAUCCUAAGGCGCUUGAGAGAACUCUGGUGAAGGAACUAGGCAAAAUGGCACCGUAACUUCGGGAGAAGGUGCGCCCUUGUCGGUGAUUAGACUUGCUCUAUGAGCUAAUAAGGGUCGCAGUGACCUGGUGGCUGCAACUGUUUAUUAAAAACACAGCACUCUGCAAACACGUAAGUGGACGUAUAGGGUGUGACGCCUGCCCGGUGCCGGAAGGUUAAUUGAUGGGGUUAGUCUUCGGACGAAGCUCUUGAUCGAAGCCCCGGUAAACGGCGGCCGUAACUAUAACGGUCCUAAGGUAGCGAAAUUCCUUGUCGGGUAAGUUCCGACCUGCACGAA
This 1481-nucleotide ribosomal RNA is filed under the name marine metagenome. RNAcentral describes it as "bacterial LSU rRNA". It matches the Rfam family "Bacterial large subunit ribosomal RNA", at positions 525 to 1996 of the family's 2925-position model. The record is from RNAcentral.